UACGGAGGAUGCAAGCGUUAUCCGGAAUGAUUGGGCGUAAAGCGUCCGCAGGUGGCUAUGUAAGUCUGCUGUUAAAGAGUGAGGCUCAACCUCAUAAGAGCAGUGGAAACUACAUGGCUAGAGUGCGUUCGGGGCAGAGGGAAUUCCUGGUGUAGCGGUGAAAUGCGUAGAUAUCAGGAAGAACACCGGUGGCGAAAGCGCUCUGCUAGGCCGCAACUGACACUGAGGGACGAAAGCUAGGGGAGCGAACGGG
This 253-nucleotide ribosomal RNA is filed under the name uncultured bacterium. Its description in RNAcentral is "partial 16S ribosomal RNA". It matches the Rfam family "Bacterial small subunit ribosomal RNA", at positions 524 to 776 of the family's 1533-position model. The record is from RNAcentral.